Molecule: ribosomal RNA, 2443 nt
Filed under: Clostridioides difficile
Lineage: Bacteria; Bacillati; Bacillota; Clostridia; Peptostreptococcales; Peptostreptococcaceae
Description: partial 23S ribosomal RNA
Rfam family: Bacterial large subunit ribosomal RNA
Source: RNAcentral
GGUUAAGUGAAUAAGGGCGCACGGUGGAUGCCUUGGCACUAGGAGCCGAUGAAGGACGGGACUAACACCGAUAUGCUUUGGGGAGCUGUAAGUAAGCUAUGAUCCAGAGAUUUCCGAAUGGGGGAACCCAAUAUCUUUUAUAGGAUAUUACUUUUCAGUGAAUACAUAGCUGAUUAGAGGUAGACGCAGAGAACUGAAACAUCUUAGUACCUGCAGGAAGAGAAAGAAAAUUCGAUUCCCUGAGUAGCGGCGAGCGAAACGGGAAGAGCCCAAACCAACAAGCUUGCUUGUUGGGGUUGUAGGACUCCAAUAUGGUAGUCUGUUAGUAUAGUUGAAGGAUUUGGAAAAUUCCGCUAAAGAGGGUGAAAGCCCCGUAGACGAAAUGCUGACAACACCUAGGAGGAUCCUGAGUACGGCGGAACACGAGAAAUUCCGUCGGAAUCCGCGGGGACCAUCCCGCAAGGCUAAAUACUCCCUAGUGACCGAUAGUGAACCAGUACCGUGAGGGAAAGGUGAAAAGCACCCCGGAAGGGGAGUGAAAUAGAUCCUGAAACCGUGUGCCUACAACAAGUCAAAGCUCGUUAAUGAGUGAUGGCGUGCCUUUUGUAGAAUGAACCGGCGAGUUACGAUUGCAUGCGAGGUUAAGUCGAAGAGACGGAGCCGCAGCGAAAGCGAGUCUGAAUAGGGCGAAUGAGUAUGUAGUCGUAGACCCGAAACCAUGUGAUCUACCCAUGUCCAGGUUGAAGGUGCGGUAAAACGCACUGGAGGACCGAACCCACGUACGUUGAAAAGUGCGGGGAUGAGGUGUGGGUAGCGGAGAAAUUCCAAACGAACUUGGAGAUAGCUGGUUCUCUCCGAAAUAGCUUUAGGGCUAGCCUCGGAAUUGAGAAUGAUGGAGGUAGAGCACUGUUUGGACUAGGGGCCCAUCUCGGGUUACCGAAUUCAGAUAAACUCCGAAUGCCAUUCAUUUAUAUCCGGGAGUCAGACUGCGAGUGAUAAGAUCCGUAGUCGAAAGGGAAACAGCCCAGACCACCAGCUAAGGUCCCAAAAUAUAUGUUAAGUGGAAAAGGAUGUGGGGUUGCACAGACAACUAGGAUGUUGGCUUAGAAGCAGCCACCAUUUAAAGAGUGCGUAAUAGCUCACUAGUCGAGUGACCCUGCGCCGAAAAUGUACCGGGGCUAAACAUAUUACCGAAGCUGUGGACUACACCAUUAGGUGUAGUGGUAGGAGAGCGUUCUAAGGGCGUUGAAGGUCGAUCGUGAGGACGGCUGGAGCGCUUAGAAGUGAGAAUGCCGGUAUGAGUAGCGAAAGACAGGUGAGAAUCCUGUCCACCGUAUGACUAAGGUUUCCUGGGGAAGGCUCGUCCGCCCAGGGUUAGUCGGGACCUAAGCCGAGGCCGAUAGGCGUAGGCGAUGGACAACAGGUUGAUAUUCCUGUACCAGUUGUUUUUGUUUGAGCAAUGGAGGGACGCAGUAGGCUAAGGAAUGCAUGCGAUUGGAAGUGCAUGUCCAAGCAAUGAGUCUUGAGUAGAGUUAAAUGCUUUACUCUUUAAGGACAAGUUGUGACGGGGAGCGAAAUAAUAGUAGCGAAGUUCCUGAUGUCACACUGCCAAGAAAAGCUUCUAGUGAGAAAACAACUGCCCGUACCGUAAACCGACACAGGUAGUCGAGGAGAGUAUCCUAAGGUGAGCGAGCGAACUCUCGUUAAGGAACUCGGCAAAAUGACCCCGUAACUUCGGGAGAAGGGGUGCUGACUUCGGUCAGCCGCAGUGAAUAGGCCCAAGCGACUGUUUAUCAAAAACACAGGUCUCUGCAAAAUCGUAAGAUGAAGUAUAGGGGCUGACGCCUGCCCGGUGCUGGAAGGUUAAGAGGAUGGGUUAGCUUCGGCGAAGCUCAGAAUUGAAGCCCCAGUAAACGGCGGCCGUAACUAUAACGGUCCUAAUUUGGGCACUGUCUCAACGAGAGACUCGGUGAAAUUUUAGUACCUGUGAAGAUGCAGGUUACCCGCGACAGGACGGAAAGACCCCAUGGAGCUUUACUGUAGUUUGAUAUUGAGUGUUUGUACCACAUGUACAGGAUAGGUAGGAGCCGAUGAGACCGGAACGCUAGUUUCGGAGGAGGCGCUGGUGGGAUACUACCCUUGUGUUAUGAACCCUCUAACCCGCACCACUAAUCGUGGUGGGAGACAGUGUCAGAUGGGCAGUUUGACUGGGGCGGUCGCCUCCUAAAAGGUAACGGAGGCGCCCAAAGGUUCCCUCAGAAUGGUUGGAAAUCAUUCGAAGAGUGUAAAGGCAGAAGGGAGCUUGACUGCGAGACCUACAAGUCGAGCAGGGACGAAAGUCGGGCUUAGUGAUCCGGUGGUUCCGCAUGGAAGGGCCAUCGCUCAACGGAUAAAAGCUACCCUGGGGAUAACAGGCUUAUCUCCCCCAAGAGUCCACAUCGAC